GGAGAGUCCACCCCUUCCCCAUUCCCAUUGAAGUCGCUCGCCUCCUCUUUUCUAUUUUAAAAUCCCCAAAUCCAACCAUCCAUCGAUCCCCCGCUCUUUGAUUCUGAUUCCCAUCAUCAGAAAAAGAGGCAACUAGAUAAUUUCCAAUUUCUAUGAUGUCGGUGAGCUUCAAAUACUGGGAUGACUGUGUGGAUCCAGAGGAUAUGCAGUUACUGUGGACAGAUAGAGCUGUGAGAAAAGAAUGGACUGAUGCUAAUGAAAGGAAGGGGCACAAAAUUCACCUCUCUCGAGAUCCCGAUGGACAACCAUAUCUUACACAGACAGAAAUGAGGGCUGUUGCUGGAAUUGUUGUAGAAAGGCACUUCAAAUCGCAGAUAGAUUCGGAUAUGAUCUGUGCUUUGGCUGAAAUUUUAAGUGACAGGCAACUUCUAGCAGAGCAGUAUGAUAAGAAGACAAAGGAGACGAAGAUGGGCAUCAUGCAGAUAUCACCUAUGACUGCAGAUUGGCUUAUAAGGGAAAUGGGAUAUAAGAAUUAUGUUAUACAGGAAAAUGCAAAUAUGCUCUACAAGCCUUUUAUAAACGUGUACUUUGGUGCAGCAUAUAUAAAAUGGCUGUCUUGUUAUGAUGAAAAAGAAAGAAGUGAGGAAUAUGUUGUAAGAGCUUAUAAGUGUGGCAUAAUUAAGGCAGCGCACAAGUCAACCACAGAUUAUUUCCAGCGCUAUCUUUUUAUCAAAGAUAGCUUGCCUCCGAAGAGUGUACUAAAGAGAAAUCACAAAGAUCUCAACCCUGCUGUUUUGGCUGUUGAUGUGCCAUCUCCAAUGAAGGCAGGUGAUGGCUAUGCUUAUUGGGAUGCCAGGGUAUCCCAAGAGGAUAUGGAGGACAUGUGGCGAAAUCCUGAUGUUGUAAAAGAGUGGUCAAAAUCUGGUGAAAUACGUGGAAGAGUGCGUUUUUCACAGGAUGAAGAGAAGAGUCCAUAUCUUUCUCGAGUUGAGGUGAAGGCAUUGGCUCAAAUCAUCAUUCAACGAUACUUCAGUACAAGGGAAAUACAAGCUGCAGCCUUAGCUGCCCUUGCUGAGGUAUGUAGCAUGAGAUUUGUGAAUGGAGUGCGUACUCGAACUGGAUUAAUGGGAAUUGACUACCCAACUGCAUCAUGGCUAUAUAGAGAAAUUGGACAUAAGGAGUACAAAGUGAGUUCUGUGGAUGAUGUCUACAAUCCAUUUGUUUCCAUGUACUUUGGUGCAUCCUACUUUGACUGGCUGUCAGAAUACAAAGGAAGGCAAAGAAACUAUGAGUUCAUUGUCCAGGCUUAUUUAGGAGGGCCAGCAAAUGUGAAUUUCCAGGAGACAGGCCCUCUUUGGAAAAAGUUUCAGGAAUCUUUGAGUCACUAUGUAGUCCCGACAAGCAAAUUACCCAGUGAUUUGCCUGCCAGCGCAGAAGAAGGAAGAUGCUGCAUUUUAUGAACCCGGUCUGCGGCAUGAAGAUCUAGUUCAGUUGAACUGUUCCCAUAUUAUAUGGAUUCUCAAACUGCAGAAGAGAUCAACAACUUCAUCCACAAGAUCUCACUAAGCUCUCUUACGUGCAAUGUGGUAAUUCCAAGAAAGGGGGAUAAAAAAAUAAAGGCUGGACUAACAGGAGUGCUCAAGGUGCCGUAUAAAAAAAUUGGGUUAACUAAGCAAACAGAAAUGAUAUACAUGUAACGAGAUUUGAAGUAAAUCAUGGACUCACUGUUUCAGAGGCAGAGAAGGGUGUAGAAUACAAGAGGGAUAAAAGCAUUGUCAAGCUGUGCCGUGUAUGCUUGCAAUAAACCACUCGCAGUAACUGUUACCAUUAGAAGUUGAGAGGGCAUAUUAAUAAGGAGAAUACUAUUGUGUAAGAUCAUAGAAUAGCAAAUUUGCAAGAAAGAAAAACUUAUGGUUGUUGAAGAUGC
RNA transcript from Asparagus officinalis (garden asparagus), 1927 nucleotides. RefSeq lists it as uncharacterized. Lineage: Eukaryota; Viridiplantae; Streptophyta; Magnoliopsida; Asparagales; Asparagaceae. The transcript is spliced from 15 exons. The record is from RefSeq and is a predicted model, not a curated record.